UAAUACGUAGGAGGCGAGCGUUAUCCGGAUUUACUGGGCGUAAAGAGGGCGCGGGCGGCCCUCUAAGUCAGGUGUGAAAUCCCCCGGCUUAACCGGGGGAGGUCAUUUGAUACUGGAGGGCUUGAGGACAGCAGAGGGAGGUGGAAUUCCCGGUGUAGCGGUGAUAUGCGUAGAUAUCGGGAGGAACACCAGUGGCGAAGGCGGCCUCCUGGGCUGUUUCUGACGCUGAGGCCCGAAAGCGUGGGGAGCGAACCGGAUUAGAUACCCGGGUAGUCCACGCCCUAAACGUUGGGCACUAGGUCUGGGGGGUAUCGACCCUCUCCGGGCCGAAGCUAACGCUCUAAGUGCCCCGCCUGGGGACUACGGCCGCAAGGUUA
RNAcentral lists this ribosomal RNA (377 nucleotides) under uncultured bacterium. Its description in RNAcentral is "bacterial SSU rRNA". It matches the Rfam family "Bacterial small subunit ribosomal RNA", at positions 521 to 896 of the family's 1533-position model. The record is from RNAcentral.